Molecule: ribosomal RNA, 425 nt
Filed under: uncultured bacterium
Lineage: Bacteria
Description: partial 16S ribosomal RNA
Rfam family: Bacterial small subunit ribosomal RNA
Source: RNAcentral
GUGGGGAAUCUUGCGCAAUGGGCGAAAGCCUGACGCAGCCAUGCCGCGUGAAUGAUGAAGGUCUUAGGAUUGUAAAAUUCUUUCACCGGGGACGAUAAUGACGGUACCCGGAGAAGAAGCUCCGGCUAACUUCGUGCCAGCAGCCGCGGUAAUACGAAGGGGGCUAGCGUUGCUCGGAAUUACUGGGCGUAAAGGGCGCGUAGGCGGACAGCUUAGUCAGAGGUGAAAGCCCAGGGCUCAACCUUGGAAUUGCCAUUGAUACUGGCUGGCUGGAGUUUGGGAGAGGUGAGUGGAACUCCGAGUGUAGAGGUGAAAUUCGUAGAUAUUCGGAAGAACACCAGUGGCGAAGGCGACUCACUGGCCCAAUACUGACGCUGAGGCGCGAAAGCGUGGGGAGCAAACAGGAUUAGAUACCCCGGUAGUCC